UAUCACCGACAAACUCAAACUCAAAACCUUUUCGUCGAAAAAGACGAACUUAACUGAUUAAACUAAUCACUUAUUGGUAUUUGUAUCAUAUUUCGAAUUAUCAUUAAUACUCUCCAAAUGGGCUUACAUUUACCUCGAUAAUCGCAGUUAGGGUCCGGCAAGGGUUGCCCCUUGAAUUUGUCUUAUUUUAUGUCGAAUUUGAAACUCAAAAUAUUCUACCCUUAGACUAUAUCUAAAUUAUUUGAUCCAAAGAAAAAGAAAAAUUGAACUUCAUUCUUUGGCAACUCGUGUGUUUAAAGCAGUUUGAGUAUUUUUUAUAGGUAUUUUAUCCAUCUGUGGCGUGCACUUGCUUUGGUGAUAGGCAAAGAUGGUUUCCUGCUUUCCAUCCACACCCAAGAAGCUAGCUAUGACUGUGGGGUGCUUCAUUGCUGGUGCAGGCCUUUUCGCAAUCGGUAAACAUCUCUCUUAUGUACACGUUGCUCCUCAGCAAGCACGAACUAAAGCUCGAGAUGAUUUUGUCAAGGAGAGGUUAAGAAAGAAAUAUGGCAAACCAUAGAGUUGCCCUUGUUGCUCCAUUUACCUUGGUUUUAUUCACAUUCUCUGCUCUCAUCUUGUGCUUAUAGUAAUAAGAACUGGCAUUAGGAUGUCACUUUGGUUUAGGCUCUACAUGCAGUGUCCCAGGGUUUCUUUCAAGCUUUAGCAUUGGCAUUGGCUCCAAUCAUUGUACAUGAUAAUCAGUCAUUUGAGCAAAACUGAAACCUUCUUUAUUCGCAUUGAAUUUUGCACAAAUUUGGUGCCACUUUUUUUUUUUAAUACAAAAAAAACUUGUAUCUGAUUAUUAUUAAAAUUUUAAUUCCUAUCAUUAUCAUAUUUUUUUUAUGAUUUUUGUGUUAUACCAUCGUAUCAUUUUAAAUUGCUAAAUCUUGUUAUAAUAUGCUCGAGUAGAAAUCUAGUUUAUAAUACCACUUGCUAGAUAAAGCAAAGGAGUUAAGCAAGUAAAAACUAACUUUAAAUACAAAAACAGUACUUAUAAAGUUAAAGAUCAUCUAACUUCAAAUA
Molecule: non-coding RNA, 1059 nt
Organism: Durio zibethinus
Lineage: Eukaryota; Viridiplantae; Streptophyta; Magnoliopsida; Malvales; Malvaceae
Source: RefSeq, a predicted model, not a curated record